Amphibalanus amphitrite is the source of this 251-nucleotide long non-coding RNA. RefSeq lists it as uncharacterized. The transcript has 3 exons. Lineage: Eukaryota; Metazoa; Arthropoda; Thecostraca; Balanomorpha; Balanidae. The record is from RefSeq and is a predicted model, not a curated record.
UAUGCUGUGUGGUAUUGCUUCUCCAUUUCAGAGUAUUCCAGCGGUGGCGCCGCCGACGCCGCUUCCUCCGCUGUCGCCGCCGCCUACAACAUGGCCGGACCAAACAGAGGGUGCCCAAGCGAUGAUGCCGCCGCCUCGUACGCCGGCAACGGGACCUGCCGGGGAAGUGGGUGCCCAAACGAUGCCGCCACCGCCGCCGCUACCGCCCAUCCCACCUACACCGCCUACGACGGCGCCGAACCAAGAGGCGG